UUUAAAGCAGUUUUACUCUCAUUUAUUUAGUCCUCACCAUACAGACAGCUGACAGUGAGGAAUUCACACUGAUGUGGGAGGUGUCACUGAGGAGAUGAAAUUUGAGUUGCUCCUUAAAGAAUGAGUAAGAUUUGCUAGGUGAAGAUUGGUGAAAUGGCUUUGCAGACAGAAUAGCGACAGCGAAACAACAGGCGAAGUGUGAGAUGUGUCAUGGGAACACUAGUUACUCAGAUGUGUGAGUAUGUGUGUGUGUGGGUAGGUUUGUGUCAUGGGGUCCAUAUGAGGGGGUGUGGAAGGAGCUAAGUCAGUGCAAACUUUUAGCUCUGCAAGUUACAAAAUGUAAGAGGCUAAAAAAUGACUUGAAAUCUGAAAAUCGCAAUUCCUAAAGUAAAGGUAGAUCGUUUCUGUCAUUUAAAAUGUGUGGCAGGAAGAAAAGCAGCAUUUAUUGAGCUCCUGCUAUAUGACUUUAUAUCUAUUGUUGCAUUUAACCCUUAGAUCAGCUCUUUAAGAGGCUGAUUACUCUCAAUUUACAUGUGAGGAAAUGCAAGCUACAGAAAUUACCCUAGAAAGAUGAAGCCCAGCAGCAGGAUUCAAUCCAGGUUCAUCCAACUCCCCAGAUGGUAUUCUUUCCAUCACACCAUGCGGUCUCUCUGAAAUACCUAAGUGAUUCUCCUAUUACAACAAACAGUGGGACACCUCCCCACACAGACCGCUCUCACCACCACCACCAAAUAGCUCAGCAUAUUUGGAGAUAAAAACAAAGGAAGAGAAAUGAAAUACGCAUGUGAAAACUUUAUAGAUUAUUCUGCCCUAUUCGGCAGCCAUUAUGGGAUUGUUACUUGAUAUGAAUGUAGAGAUUUGCUACUUUGAAAGCCUUAAAGUUUCGCUAUUGUGGCCCACAGCUCUCUGGAUAUGGCAGUAUUUCUUGAACUAGCAAAAAAAGCUUAUUUUCUUCAGUAUGUGAAUCCACAUAAAGGUAUUUAUCCUAAACAGCUACUUCCUCCUUUACCAUGGACUGAUUUGGGAUUCAGCUUUGUUGCGAUGCCACAGGUGUUUUAGAUUUUGAUGGCCGCUUCCAAGUGUGGGUCUGAUGAGCUCUCCGCAUGCGCUGCCUGCCUGGGUGAGCGCUGGCCAGGCUGAGUAGGCUCAUUCAUCCAGGAGAUGGCCCUGCAGCUGAAAAGAGGAGGAGAUGACUACUUUCUGGUCCAGCUGAGCCCUGCAUGUACUUCUCACAUGGUAUCUACCCACGCAGGAAGGUGUUAGAAGAGGUCAUCGAGAGGACGUGAGUGCUGGUUGACUCGAGAACUGGACCAGGGCAUUUGGAGGCUCUUCACCUUCUCCCCUGUCCUUGGAAUGAUUGUGGGAGCUGCCUAAUUGGAAAUCUGUAAGAAGGGUCAACAGGCUGGAAAUUCAGCUAAGAGUUGAUGGUGUGGUAUUGAUCUGAAAUCUGCAGGGCAGGCCAUCAGAAAUUGUGACAAGUUAUGCAUUUCAAAUAUCUGUGAUAAGACUGAGGAUUGACUCCACUUAAUUUGGAUCCUGAGUGUUACAAGAGGUGGACAGUAGCGACGCUUUGAGUUGACACUCAUCUCCCUGGCACUAACUCUACUUAGACACAUGGAUGGCUUCUUACUGAAAAUGUCUGUCAGCUCUUUGCCUGAGUAAUUCCGCUGGCUGUAAGAAAGUGCUUGACUUGUGUGUGGAACAGACUGAAAAUGAUUGAAAGUUAACAUCCCAGGAGCGGUCUUCAACCAGUUAUGGAUGGGCGUUGGCAGAGAAACUCCAUAGUUUCUUCACCCCUCAGGUAGGACAACUCCGAGAAGUGUUCCACGUAGUCUCCCAGUGGACCCUAAAAGAGGGAGCCCCAAUUCCUCACACUCGUAAACGGUUUAUUAAUGUAGACUAUGUUGGCUUUGUUCCCUUCCCUGUCUUACUUCCUCACUCCCUAUCCCUGCUUCUUGGAAUCAUUUCCCUAGUAAAUUAAUUUCAUGCAAAUUUUUGUCUCAAGGAAUACAACCUAAGACAAGUGGUAAAACAGGUCAGAGUUCUGACCUUCUACCACUUAUAGUCUAGUAGAGGAGAAGGGCAUGAAUCAAAUAAUUUCGUAGUAAUUGUAAAUUUGCAAUGUGACACUACUGAAAAGAAGACACAUUGAGGCAAUCUGAUUGUGUGUGUGUGUAUUGGGGUUAGGAAACAUUUUUCCCAAGGAAGGGAUGUUUGAGCUGAAAAGUGAAAAAUGAAAAGAGGUGGAGAUAGAGUUCUGUAUGAAAGAAUAACAUAUGCAAAGGGCCUGUGGCAGGAAGAGCAUGGUAUGUAGAGAGACUAAAGAAAGGCAGUGUGGCUGAAGCAGAGGAUGAUGGGGAGCUCAGUGGAAAAUGAGACCAGGAAGGUAGGUAGAAGCCAGAUGGUGUAGGGCUUUCUAGUGUCUUAUUUAUGUGAAGAGCUAUGAGGAGCCAUUGGGAGGGUAUAAUCAGUGGGAUCAUAUCAUCAGAUUUACAUUUCACAAAGAUCAUUUUGUCUGAUGUAUACAAAAGACAUAGGGAGUCAGUGGAAGGAUAUUUGGGUUUAGUCGAUACAGGAAUCUAGGUGAAAGGCUUUUUCUACUAUCAUUACGAGGAAUUGAUUGGAUCCCAGGGUUCAAACCAUGGCUCUGUAAUUUACUCAGUGAAUGAUCUUGGGCCAGCUACUUAACCUUCCAUGCUGAAAUUUCCUCAUACGUAAAAUAACUGUAACUAGAUGUUAUAAUCAUGAUUAGGAUACUGCCUGACACGUCGUAAACACAAUCCAAGUGUUGGGUACAAUUAACAUCAUUAUUAUUAUCUUCCAACAUGUAAUAGGUAACUGGUGAAUUUUUAAGCUGGGUUACUCUCCAGGGGCUUUCGUCUUGUUUGGUAUAUACAGUUGCUGCUUUAACAGCUAGUAUAGAGGAGGGCAGGGUGGCAGCAGGUCUGCCAUGAAAUGCAUGCCUUAGUGCUUAGCAGCUGAAUAACCUGGAGCCAGUCGCUUCCCUCCUGUUUCCUCCUCUCUGUUACGGGGAGGGGUCUAGGAUUAGUACCUAACUUCACUGCUUCACUGGGUUAUUGUAGGAAGAAACGGACUGCUCUCCAUCAAACGCAGGUCGAUCCAUGGCACAGUAUGCUUGCUAUCACUUGUAACUAUUCUGAUAAGCACUGAUAAUUGUCUCUUCCAGUCAUCAUUCUCAUCAGUUUAUUCCUCCUCCAUCGUGAUCUUGUUAUAACAAUUAAAUAAGGAGCUAAGAUAACACUGUUUUACCUUUGGAAAAGUCCUUAGAGUAGAAAACCCUGCAAAAGUGUAGCUAUUUUUACUACUUUGCUGCAAAUUUUACAUUUUAUACUCCUUUAAUGUCUUUAGAUUGUGAGCAUCACAUUGCCACUGCUAUAUUAUUAUUGCAGUAAAGUCCUCAUGAAAAUGACUCUUCCUCUGUAUUUCCGUGAGUAAAAUCAUCACUCUGAAGUGAAUGGUGUUGUCAAUUCCUAAGAACCUCCCAGAUAUUCUAUGCUUUUCUCUUUGGCUUCAGUGAUUUCAUUGUAAUUGUUAGCAAAAUACCACAUAUUUUGCUCGUAAGCAUGAAAACUUGAGUUCUUAUACAAUUAUCUUUCAAGGCCAGAUCCUAAUGUUUCAUGAGGUAGAAGAGAAACAUAUUUUUACUUGCAGCCUGUGUAUAAAAAAAAGAAUUAUGAGUACUCCUAUAAAAUUUUUAUUGAAGCCCAUUAAAUUUUUUGCAAGCAUUGUCUAUUUAUUGAGAGUGGCCUUUUUUUCUUUAAACUCUGGCAUGAUAUUGAGAUAUUGAGAAACAAUCUCCUCUCUUGGAGAGAAUUAGGUCAGCUCUUACUGUUUUAUGCUUUUAGUGCAUUUCUCUGUGUAUGUGCUUAUACUUUCUACAUAGGCUUUUUAAGUUUCUUUGACUAAUGACUGAAUUAAAAUUUCUCACAUUUAGAUAUGUGAAAUAUGAAAUUGAAGAUUGCUUCCUGUUUGUCUUUGCUUUACUAAACCACUGGGCAUAAUAUACAGUAGUUAUAAGAUUAUAAAAUUUAAUCUGACUAAUAAUAUGCAUUAUUAAUAUAUUUUAACAUAUUUUUAUGUUACAAAAAUAUUCCUGAAGUAUUUUGAUUAAGAAAUUUUCUUAUUAUUUUUAACUUAACUUUCCAGCUUCAAAAGGAGAUUUCUAAAAUCAGUUGAUUCUGCUUUUGAUGUUUUGAUAGUUUCUGCAGUCUCUUUUGGUCGUAUUAUCUAUCUAUGACACUUUAAUGAAAAUACUUUGAAAAUAGCAGAGUUGAUUUCUUUUAUAGUAACAGAUGUGCAUAAUGCUUACUUUAAUGUUCUUGCCUCGUAUCUGACAUGUUGCUCCAAAUCUUCAAUGGCUUGAUUAUUGUAAAACAUAUAGUAACAACUCUUGGAAACACCUAAAAACUUCUUGGGCAUUACAUUUUAUCUUGAGGGGGCAGGGGCCAUGGCCAUCAGUCUUGCUGUGGGUCCUGUCACAGAUUCUACCCUGAGGCACUGACAAGAGCUGAAACAGUCCUUUCUACUGUGAAGUUUCUUUGGUCUGUCCAUUCAACAGACAUGGCUGAAUAUUAAAAGAAAAAUCUAUGGGACCUUUAAAUAACCUUUAAGCUUCAAUAUGUGUAAUUCAUUGGGUGUUCAUUUCAGUAUCAAUUUCUGUGAAAAGACAUUUCAAAGAUGAAACAUGUAAAAUUCCGUUUCAGCUCAACUUUAACAAAUGAACAUUUGCAUUCAGUUUUGAUGAUAGAGAACACUAACUUGAAUCCCAGUCAAGAAAAUAUUAUCCCUUCCCAAAUAAUUACUUUAUUUUCAUUAGUAUACCUGUAUUAUAAGAAAAUUAUGUUCAAUUAUUAUGUUUUGAAUUCCGUAAGUAAAAAUUUUGGGAAAAUUUGUCUUCUCUCUUGCUAUAAAAGUGCCUACAUAAUGUCCUUGAUUUCGC
This is a long non-coding RNA of Equus caballus (horse), 4960 nucleotides long. The record is from Ensembl. Lineage: Eukaryota; Metazoa; Chordata; Mammalia; Perissodactyla; Equidae.